UAUAUAUAUUAGGGGUGCAACGAUAUUCGUAUCGAUAUUGAACCGUUCGAUACAGUGCUUUCGGUUCGGUACGCAUAUGUAUCGAACAAUACAACAUUUGUAAUUUCUUUUAUCAAUUUUCCUUCUGACGAUGCUGUCUGUGUUGAGCGCUCAGUGAAUCUGUGUUCGACUACUCCUCCUAGGCUGCACUGUCCAGCGCAGAUCCACUGAGCGCUCAACACAGACAGCAUAGUCAGAAGGAAGAGCGCAGGGCACCUCCCCCACCCUCAUUCAGAUCUGGCGUUUGGAAUUAUUUUGGUUUUCAUGUGACGUAUGACCCUGAAGGUAAGCGAGUCAUGGACUAAAGUAAAACAGUAUGUUGGAUGUGCCAUGCAAUGCUCAAUUACAUUGGUGUGAACUAGUGUGCUAGCGCAGUUAGCUCGUUAACGUGUUGGCCGUCUAGCCCCAUGCACGGAGCAAUCGGCGGUAGCUCGUUAACGGAGAUUUGCCGUGUUGUGGCGUUAAGGUCAUUUCAACGAGAUUAACCUGAAAGCACUAGUGGGAACACGACGAAUAUGACUGCACAUUUACGCCGACAUCAUCCUAGUGCAAAGACAAUGGAAGCAGACAAAAAAAAGCAAGCAUGCUACUAACUUUAGCCGAGUCAUUUAGACAGCUGUUAGCACAUGAUUCUCCUUAUGCUGCUGAGAAUAUAGCCCAGAAGAAGCGGAUAGUAUAGCUUUUAUUUUGGAAAGAGCCAUUUCUCUGUAAUAAACUCUCUUUUCCAAAGAUGAGUGAUUCCUCAAUCAGAUACAGGGCUCGCAAUAUCGCUAGCCCGACGUCCCGGAGCUAGCGAUUUUUUCAGUCGGGCUACCAAAAUCUAUCUCUUCCCUGAACGUCGGGCUAUUGUAGGAAAAAUAUAUGUCAAUGCUUUUGCAUUCUUUCAGAAAUGUAGCUGGGUAAUUAUGUCAUUGGCAUCGGUGAGCCACUGUCAAUAUGUGACAUAUUGAAGUCGCGUUUGAAUUUGCGCUCGUUUUUUUGCUUUCACUUUGCAAUCGUGCGAACUGUGUAUAGAGAGCAACAGCACUGAUCUGUGAGUGAUGAUAAUUUGUGCACCAAUUCCUCUGACAUCGUCUUAUUAAUCGUUAGCUUACUAUGCAAACAUGACAAGUGAAAUCUCCCGCAGCAAGCUUAAACAUGUGAGAGGUUGAUCGCGCAGAGAAUCGCUGAGCUUAUGUGAGUGAGUGUGUAAAAGCAUUUCAGUUCUGCUGAGCCAAAUAAGACAGGUCAGGGUGAAGAAGUGACAGCCAAAGAAAAGCUUACCACAAAACGGAGAAGUUAUGACAAAUCAGACUAUAAGGCAAAAAGAAAGUGCAGCUUCAUGGUUUCAUGGACAAAAGAAUUUCUGUGGCUGCGAUAUGACGAGCUAAAUAACCAGGGCUGCACAUAAGUGGUCCGCAGGUGCGCAUUCGCUGUCAAAAUAAAAAACACGCACAAGGGUUAGGGUUAAAUUUAAAAACUGUACUUUUGAGUUAAAAUAUAUAUUUAUAAUUUUAAUAAAUGACAAAUUAAAAAUGCAUGAACAUUUUUUUGUAUCGAAAAAAUAUCGAACCGUGACACCAAAGUAUCGAACCGAACCGAACCGUGAAUUUUGUGUAUCGUUGCACCCCUAAUAGAUAGAUAGAUAGAUAGAUAGAUAGAUAGAUAGAUAGAUAGAUAGAUAGAUAGAUAGAUAGAUAGAUAGCUUGUCUAUAAAAGGUGUCUUUAAAAGCUGUCUGGACUCCUGGUGAAACAUUUGCCCAAACACCCUGGAGAGGACACAGGCACAGGAAAGAAAGGUGAGUAAUCACAUCUUAGUCACUUCUUUGCACCACAUUAUUUUUAGAUUUUCACACACUUGCAUUAGUUCUCCUUACUGGUAAACCUUAUUUGCUCUCAAUCCCAAUUCCUUUCUCCUCACAGACAACCACCACAUUUCUUGAUGAGGAGCAGCUGUGCGGGACCUGGAACAAAGGCUACCAACUGAUUUUAAAAUACGCAAUAAAUAUUCAAUAAAUAAUUAAA
This is a long non-coding RNA of Astatotilapia calliptera (eastern happy), 2043 nucleotides long. The record is from Ensembl. Lineage: Eukaryota; Metazoa; Chordata; Actinopteri; Cichliformes; Cichlidae.